This is a long non-coding RNA of Pipra filicauda (Wire-tailed manakin), 142 nucleotides long. RefSeq lists it as uncharacterized. The record is from RefSeq and is a predicted model, not a curated record. Lineage: Eukaryota; Metazoa; Chordata; Aves; Passeriformes; Pipridae. The transcript is spliced from 2 exons.
GGGAACUGGAUGGCACCUCUCCACAGGGCUGGGGCUUUGCAAGGAGCCCCAGUGCUGCCCUGAUGGGUGUCUGCUCCCCUCAGACUGUGACUCUCUGAACUCAAAGCUCCUUCAGGAAUAAACAGGCUGGAUGGGGCUUGGA